RNAcentral lists this ribosomal RNA (253 nucleotides) under uncultured bacterium. RNAcentral describes it as "partial 16S ribosomal RNA". It matches the Rfam family "Bacterial small subunit ribosomal RNA", at positions 524 to 776 of the family's 1533-position model. The record is from RNAcentral.
UACGUAGGGAGCAAGCGUUGUCCGGAAUCAUUGGGCAUAAAGCGCGCGUAGGCGGCCUCAUAAGUCCGUUGUGAAAGUCAAAGGCUCAACCUUUGAAAGCCGAUGGAUACUGUGAGGCUAGAGUCCGGAAGAGGCGAGUGGAAUUCCUGGUGUAGCGGUGGAAUGCGCAGAUAUCAGGAGGAACACCAAUAGCGAAGGCAGCUCGCUGGGACGGUACUGACGCUAAGGCGCGAAAGCGUGGGGAGCGAACAGG